RNAcentral lists this ribosomal RNA (503 nucleotides) under Enterococcus faecium. Its description in RNAcentral is "bacterial SSU rRNA". It matches the Rfam family "Bacterial small subunit ribosomal RNA", at positions 18 to 492 of the family's 1533-position model. Lineage: Bacteria; Bacillati; Bacillota; Bacilli; Lactobacillales; Enterococcaceae. The record is from RNAcentral.
CCUGGCUCAGGACGAACGCUGGCGGCGUGCCUAAUACAUGCAAGUCGUACGCUUCUUUUUCCACCGGAGCUUGCUCCACCGGAAAAAGAAGAGUGGCGAACGGGUGAGUAACACGUGGGUAACCUGCCCAUCAGAAGGGGAUAACACUUGGAAACAGGUGCUAAUACCGUAUAACAAUCGAAACCGCAUGGUUUUGAUUUGAAAGGCGCUUUCGGGUGUCGCUGAUGGAUGGACCCGCGGUGCAUUAGCUAGUUGGUGAGGUAACGGCUCACCAAGGCCACGAUGCAUAGCCGACCUGAGAGGGUGAUCGGCCACAUUGGGACUGAGACACGGCCCAAACUCCUACGGGAGGCAGCAGUAGGGAAUCUUCGGCAAUGGACGAAAGUCUGACCGAGCAACGCCGCGUGAGUGAAGAAGGUUUUCGGAUCGUAAAACUCUGUUGUUAGAGAAGAACAAGGAUGAGAGUAACUGUUCAUCCCUUGACGGUAUCUAACCAGAAAGCC